AAUAGAUACCCCGGUAGUCCACGCCGUAAACGAUGAGUGCUAAGUGUUAGGGGGUUUCCGCCCCUUAGUGCUGCAGCUAACGCAUUAAGCACUCCGCCUGGGGAGUACGGUCGCAAGACUGAAACUCAAAGGAAUUGACGGGGGCCCGCACAAGCGGUGGAGCAUGUGGUUUAAUUCGAAGCAACGCGAAGAACCUUACCAGGUCUUGACAUCCCACUGACCGCUAUGGAGACAUAGUUUUCCCUUCGGGGACAGUGGUGACAGGUGGUGCAUGGUUGUCGUCAGCUCGUGUCGUGAGAUGUUGGGUUAAGUCCCGCAACGAGCGCAACCCUUGAUCUUAGUUGCCAUCAUUUAGUUGGGCACUCUAAGGUGACUGCCGGUGACAAACCGGAGGAAGGUGGGGAUGACGUCAAAUCAUCAUGCCCCUUAUGACCUGGGCUACACACGUGCUACAAUGGAUGGUACAAAGGGCUGCAAGACUGCGAAGUCAAGCCAAUCCCAUAAAACCAUUCUCAGUUCGGAUUGCAGG
This 529-nucleotide ribosomal RNA is filed under the name uncultured bacterium. RNAcentral's name for it is "bacterial SSU rRNA". It matches the Rfam family "Bacterial small subunit ribosomal RNA", at positions 777 to 1304 of the family's 1533-position model. The record is from RNAcentral.